GGUUGUGCCCUUGAGGCGUGGCUUCCGGAGCUAACGCGUUAAGUAGACCGCCUGGGGAGUACGGCCGCAAGGUUAAAACUCAAAUGAAUUGACGGGGGCCCGCACAAGCGGUGGAGCAUGUGGUUUAAUUCGAUGCAACGCGAAGAACCUUACCUGGUCUUGACAUCCACAGAACUUUCCAGAGAUGGAUUGGUGCCUUCGGGAACUGUGAGACAGGUGCUGCAUGGCUGUCGUCAGCUCGUGUUGUGAAAUGUUGGGUUAAGUCCCGCAACGAGCGCAACCCUUAUCCUUUGUUGCCAGCGAUUAGGUCGGGAACUCAAAGGAGACUGCCAGUGAUAAACUGGAGGAAGGUGGGGAUGACGUCAAGUCAUCAUGGCCCUUACGACCAGGGCUACACACGUGCUACAAUGGCGCAUACAAAGAGAAGCGACCUCGCGAGAGCAAGCGGACCUCAUAAAGUGCGUCGUAGUCCGGAUUGGAGUCUGCAACUCGACUCCAUGAAGUCGGAAUCGCUAGUAAUCGUGGAUCAGAAUGCCACGGUGAAUACGUUCCCGGGCCUUGUACACACCGCCCGUCACACCAUGGGAGUGGGUUGCAAAAGAAGUAGGUAGCUUAACCUUCGGGAGGGCGCUUACCACUUUGUGAUUCAUGACUGGGGUGAAGUCGUAACAAGGUAACCGUAGGGGAACCUGCGGUUGGA
RNAcentral lists this ribosomal RNA (700 nucleotides) under Salmonella enterica subsp. enterica serovar Virchow. RNAcentral's name for it is "partial 16S ribosomal RNA". It matches the Rfam family "Bacterial small subunit ribosomal RNA", at positions 822 to 1522 of the family's 1533-position model. The record is from RNAcentral. RNAcentral also lists the same sequence under 1 other name. Lineage: Bacteria; Pseudomonadati; Pseudomonadota; Gammaproteobacteria; Enterobacterales; Enterobacteriaceae.